Molecule: long non-coding RNA, 249 nt
Filed under: Dendronephthya gigantea
Lineage: Eukaryota; Metazoa; Cnidaria; Anthozoa; Malacalcyonacea; Nephtheidae
Description: uncharacterized LOC114536380
Source: RNAcentral
CAUGUCAUUCUAAUGCUACGUGCAACAACACAGAUGGAUCUUAUAUUUGCACAUGUAAUACUGGAUACACUGGAGAUGGGUUUAAUUGCACAGAUGUUGACGAAUGCGUAAUAUCUCCCCCAUGUCAUUCCAAUGCUACGUGCAAUGACACAGAUGGAUCAUAUAUUUGUACCUGUUAUUCUGGAUAUACAGGAGACGGGUUCAACUGCUCAGAUGUUGACGAAUGCGUAGUAUCUCCCCCAUGUCAUU